This 500-nucleotide ribosomal RNA is filed under the name uncultured bacterium. Its description in RNAcentral is "partial 16S ribosomal RNA". It matches the Rfam family "Bacterial small subunit ribosomal RNA", at positions 30 to 523 of the family's 1533-position model. The record is from RNAcentral.
AUUGAACGCUGGCGGCAUGCCUUACACAUGCAAGUCGAACGGCAGCACGGGAGCAAUCCUGGUGGCGAGUGGCGAACGGGUGAGUAAAGUAUCGGAACGUGCCCAGUCGUGGGGGAUAACGUAGCGAAAGUUACGCUAAUACCGCAUACGAUCUAUGGAUGAAAGCGGGGGAUCGCAAGACCUCGCGCGAUUGGAGCGGCCGAUAUCAGAUUAGGUAGUUGGUGGGGUAAAGGCCCACCAAGCCGACGAUCUGUAGCUGGUCUGAGAGGACGACCAGCCACACUGGGACUGAGACGCGGUCCAGACUCCUACGGGAGGCAGCAGUGGGGAAUUUUGGACAAUGGGCGAAAGCCUGAUCCAGCUAUUCCGCGUGCAGGAUGAAGGCCCUCGGGUUGUAAACUGCUUUUGUACAGAACGAAAAGGUUUCUACUAAUACUAGGAGCUCAUGACGGUACUGUAAGAAUAAGCACCGGCUAACUACGUGCCAGCCGCCGCCGUAA